RNAcentral lists this unclassified non-coding RNA (206 nucleotides) under Hevea brasiliensis (rubber tree). Lineage: Eukaryota; Viridiplantae; Streptophyta; Magnoliopsida; Malpighiales; Euphorbiaceae. The record is from RNAcentral.
GCUCUUUGGAUUAUCCUUCCAAAGCUUGGAAGUAAUCCCCCACACGCUAAAACCAUUAUAUGAUCCAGACCGCUGUAGUCAAUUCCUGCAAGUAUUGCUCCAAUGGGAGACAUUGGACCCAUAAAGCCUAUUAAAGCUGCUGCUGCCAGAGCAUUGUGCCAGCUGUCAGUAGCACCGAAGAUGCAGCUAGCCACAGCAGCACCACG